Molecule: transfer RNA, 84 nt
Filed under: Flavobacteriales bacterium
Lineage: Bacteria; Pseudomonadati; Bacteroidota; Flavobacteriia; Flavobacteriales
Description: tRNA-Leu
Rfam family: tRNA
About the family: Transfer RNA (tRNA) molecules are approximately 80 nucleotides in length. Their secondary structure includes four short double-helical elements and three loops (D, anti-codon, and T loops). Further hydrogen bonds mediate the characteristic L-shaped molecular structure. tRNAs have two regions of fundamental functional importance: the anti-codon, which is responsible for specific mRNA codon recognition, and the 3' end, to which the tRNAs corresponding amino acid is attached (by aminoacyl-tRNA synthetases). tRNAs cope with the degeneracy of the genetic code in two manners: having more than one tRNA (with a specific anti-codon) for a particular amino acid; and 'wobble' base-pairing, i.e. permitting non-standard base-pairing at the 3rd anti-codon position.
Source: RNAcentral
GCUCGAGUGGUGGAAUUGGUAGACACGCAAGACUUAAAAUCUUGUGCCCUUUGGGGCGUGCGGGUUCAAGUCCCGCCUCGAGUA